GACGAACGCUGGCGGCGUGCUUAACACAUGCAAGUCGAACGGUGAAGCGCCUUCCUUUUUGGUGGGUGUGGAUGAGUGGCGAACGGGUGAGUAACACGUGAGUAACCUGCCCCCUUCUUCUGGAUAACCGCAUGAAAGUGUGGCUAAUACGGGAUAUUCUGUGUCUGUCGCAUGAUGGGUCUGGGAAAGAUAUUGUUUCGGUGGGGGAUGGGCUCGCGGCCUAUCAGCUUGUUGGUGGGGUGAUGGCCUACCAAGGCGGUGACGGGUAGCCGGCCUGAGAGGGUGGACGGUCACACUGGGACUGAGACACGGCCCAGACUCCUACGGGAGGCAGCAGUGGGGAAUAUUGCACAAUGGGAGCAAGCCUGAUGCAGCGACGCCGCGUGAGGGAUGGAGGCCUUCGGGUUGUGAACCUCUUUCGCCAGUGAAGCAGGCCUGCCUCGUUUGUGGGUGGGUUGACGGUAGCUGGAUAAGAAGCGCCGGCUAACUACGUG
Molecule: ribosomal RNA, 494 nt
Filed under: uncultured bacterium
Lineage: Bacteria
Description: partial 16S ribosomal RNA
Rfam family: Bacterial small subunit ribosomal RNA
Source: RNAcentral